GGGAAUGUGGCUCCGUGGUAGAGUGCUUGUCUUCCAUGCAUGAGGCCCUGGGUUCAAUUCCUCAGCACCA
Molecule: transfer RNA, 70 nt
Filed under: Dipodomys ordii (Ord's kangaroo rat)
Lineage: Eukaryota; Metazoa; Chordata; Mammalia; Rodentia; Heteromyidae
Rfam family: tRNA
About the family: Transfer RNA (tRNA) molecules are approximately 80 nucleotides in length. Their secondary structure includes four short double-helical elements and three loops (D, anti-codon, and T loops).
Source: Rfam by way of RNAcentral